Molecule: long non-coding RNA, 1027 nt
Filed under: Rattus norvegicus (Norway rat)
Lineage: Eukaryota; Metazoa; Chordata; Mammalia; Rodentia; Muridae
Description: long non-coding RNA NONRATT032861
Source: RNAcentral
CUUGAAGCUAUUUUUAUGUGUUGCUGGAAACCAGAAUUACAGCCAGAGCUGAGGUGCUGGGAGGUUUCCCGGGCGCUCUGGGUCUUGCCUCAGGGAGCAAGGGCCUUUACGGGAAGAUUGGUGGAGGUGGGCCAGGAAUCCACAGUGCAGGCCAUGGAGCGCACCAUGAGCUGGUCCCGGUUCACACAGGAAUCCUGUGAACUGGUACUGAAGCCCAAGGACUUGAUCUAGGGAUGGAAGAACCACUGGGCAUGAAGGAUAGGUGGAAAAGCCUGUCCCUUGGCAAGGCACACAUGAUGCCAGAAUGACAGCAGCGACGGCGCCAGCAGCCGCGGACGCCGGAAGCCGCGGACGUCGGAAGCCACUGACACCGGAAGCUGCUUCGCGUUUCUCAGAAUGGCUCGUGAAUCCAACUCUCACCUUCUCCCCACUUUAUGGGUGAGGACCUCGGACUCAAAAGCUAUACCUGGCUUUUGAAUAGACUGGAGGCCGGGGAAGUUUCUCAUGAUCCCUGCUUGAAGUGGGGUGGGGGCUAGCCCCGGCUGUUGUUGAGGUGAGGCAUGGCGGCUCUUCCUGGAGGAGGCCGAGGCUGGUCAGGACUUGGGUGGGGCUAGGCAGGCCGCUGGGAAGCCACUUCCUGCAUGCUCUUCCCCAGUACGGCUUCCUUCCAGACCCUUCCUGUUUCCUUUUCCUCACUGCUCAGCCAAGCGAUUGUCUCCCUCAGCCCUCUCUGGGCCUGCCCAGGCAGGAUGUGGAGGCAGGAGGUUCGGUUUACAAAAGUCAAGUGUGGAUUAAACACCGUGAACUACAGACUCAGUGUGGCUCAACAGUAACUUUUGUGUUAUGUGUGUUUUACCAAAAUAAACGGAAUUGAAGGGGGGAUGAGAUGGCUCAGUGGACAAAAGAGCUUGCUGCCAAGCCGGAGGGCCUGAAUUCAGUCUCUGGAACACACAUGGUGGAAGGAGAGAAACCAUUCCUGCAUAUUGUCCUCUGGCCUCUACACAGGGUCUGAGGUAUGACGUGUACU